UUAUUUAUUAAAUGUAGAAAAUGAUAACUAAAGAAAAGGGUUUAACCGAGAGUUCUUUUUGCCUAAAUAUGUAAAAGAACGAAUGAAAAGGGAGAAAGGAAAGUAAAAAUUGAACGAAUGAAGAAAUAACUCAUGCACUUGAAGAUGCUUUUACGUGAAAUUAACUCCACAGAAACAGCAUAAUGGUAAAUAUGAAAAAAAACAUGACUUUAGAUAACAAAUAACCAAAAUAUUUUGUUUUCUUUGACGAACGACUCAAUGUAUUUGAGCUAAAGGAAGCAGACAAAAAUGCACACAGUAAUAUCCUAGUGUGCUAAUGAAAAAUCUAAAUGACAUGAAAGGCUUUGGCCUUAAAAAAAAUUAACAAUUUAGGAAUAUAACAACCCACGUUUGUGUUCACCUAAACGCAUCCCACGUUUCGGAGCAGCUUGAGCCCAGCUGUCUCGUCUCCUUAAACCAGCAGUUGGAGUUGCGAUUAUAGUAGGCUUAGAGGCCGUACUAGCAUAAUUAGCAUACAACGUAUACAUGUACGUUGGAGAUGCAAAGACAGUCGAGGUGGCAAUGGGAGGACCUGCAAACGUGGUAAAUACGGAA
Molecule: non-coding RNA, 594 nt
Organism: Schizosaccharomyces pombe (fission yeast)
Lineage: Eukaryota; Fungi; Ascomycota; Schizosaccharomycetes; Schizosaccharomycetales; Schizosaccharomycetaceae
Source: the annotation of a GenBank genome assembly